This 1478-nucleotide ribosomal RNA is filed under the name Rathayibacter sp. PhB127. Its description in RNAcentral is "bacterial LSU rRNA". It matches the Rfam family "Bacterial large subunit ribosomal RNA", at positions 1550 to 2925 of the family's 2925-position model. Lineage: Bacteria; Bacillati; Actinomycetota; Actinomycetes; Micrococcales; Microbacteriaceae. The record is from RNAcentral.
UAUAGCCUGAGAUCUGAUGGGUAGACGCAAGUCGAAAUCGGUGAUCCUAUGCUGCCAAGAAAAGCAUCGACGCGAGGUUCUAGCUGCCCGUACCCCAAACCGACUCAGGUGGUCAGGUAGAGAAUACUAAGGAGAUCGAGAGAAUCGUGGUUAAGGAACUCGGCAAAAUGCCCCCGUAACUUCGGGAGAAGGGGGGCCUGAGGCGUGAACGGACUUGCUCCGGGAGCGUUCGAUGGCCGCAGAGACCAGUGGGAAGCGACUGUUUACUAAAAACACAGGUCCGUGCUAAGUCGCAAGACGAUGUAUACGGACUGACGCCUGCCCGGUGCUGGAAGGUUAAGAGGAACGGUUAGCCGCAAGGCGAAGCUGAGAAUUUAAGCCCCAGUAAACGGCGGUGGUAACUAUAACCAUCCUAAGGUAGCGAAAUUCCUUGUCGGGUAAGUUCCGACCUGCACGAAUGGCGUAACGACUUCCCAGCUGUCUCAACCGCGAACUCGGCGAAAUUGCAUUACGAGUAAAGAUGCUCGUUACGCGCAGCAGGACGGAAAGACCCCGUGACCUUUACUAUAGUUUGGUAUUGGUGUUCGGUGUGGCUUGUGUAGGAUAGGUGGGAGACUGUGAAGCGGGCACGCUAGUGUUCGUGGAGUCAUUGUUGAAAUACCACUCUGGUCACUCUGGAUAUCUAACUUCGGACCCUAAUCGGGUUCAGGGACAGUGCCUGAUGGGUAGUUUAACUGGGGCGGUUGCCUCCUAAAGAGUAACGGAGGCGCCCAAAGGUUCCCUCAACCUGGUUGGCAAUCAGGUGUCGAGUGUAAGUGCACAAGGGAGCUUGACUGUGAGACUGACAAGUCGAGCAGGGACGAAAGUCGGGACUAGUGAUCCGGCAGUGGCUUGUGGAAGCGCUGUCGCUCAACGGAUAAAAGGUACCUCGGGGAUAACAGGCUGAUCUUGCCCAAGAGUCCAUAUCGACGGCAUGGUUUGGCACCUCGAUGUCGGCUCGUCGCAUCCUGGGGCUGGAGUAGGUCCCAAGGGUUGGGCUGUUCGCCCAUUAAAGCGGUACGCGAGCUGGGUUUAGAACGUCGUGAGACAGUUCGGUCCCUAUCCGCUGCGCGCGCAGGAAAUUUGAGAAGAUCUAUCCCUAGUACGAGAGGACCGGGAUGGACGAACCUCUGGUGUGUCAGUUGUUCCGCCAGGAGCACCGCUGAUUAGCUACGUUCGGAACGGAUAACCGCUGAAAGCAUCUAAGCGGGAAGCCGGCUUCGAGAUGAGAUUUCCAUCCCUUCGGGGGAGAGGCUCCCAGCCAGACGACUGGGUUGAUAGGCCGGAUGUGGAAGACAGGACUAAAGACUGUCGGAGCUGACCGGUACUAAUAAGCCGAUAACUUGAUAAUCACUACAUUCAUACCGUUGUAAAGGCUGGUAGGAGUGGUCAGAGAUUGCUUGCGUCCACUUUGUGGUUCCCAGAAUACGGGCUCCAUA